UCUCUGGUGGCUCAUGUGGUAAAGAAUCUGCCUGCAAUGCAGGAGACCCAGGUUCGAUCCCUGGGUUGGGAA
This 72-nucleotide transfer RNA is filed under the name Bos taurus (domestic cattle). It matches the Rfam family "tRNA". From Rfam's summary of the family: Transfer RNA (tRNA) molecules are approximately 80 nucleotides in length. Their secondary structure includes four short double-helical elements and three loops (D, anti-codon, and T loops). Further hydrogen bonds mediate the characteristic L-shaped molecular structure. tRNAs have two regions of fundamental functional importance: the anti-codon, which is responsible for specific mRNA codon recognition, and the 3' end, to which the tRNAs corresponding amino acid is attached (by aminoacyl-tRNA synthetases). tRNAs cope with the degeneracy of the genetic code in two manners: having more than one tRNA (with a specific anti-codon) for a particular amino acid; and 'wobble' base-pairing, i.e. permitting non-standard base-pairing at the 3rd anti-codon position. Lineage: Eukaryota; Metazoa; Chordata; Mammalia; Artiodactyla; Bovidae. The record is from Rfam by way of RNAcentral.